Molecule: ribosomal RNA, 327 nt
Filed under: uncultured eukaryote
Lineage: Eukaryota
Description: partial 18S ribosomal RNA
Rfam family: Eukaryotic small subunit ribosomal RNA
Source: RNAcentral
CCCUUAGAUGUUCUGGGCCGCACGCGCGCUACACUGACGAAUGCAACGAGCUUAUAACCUUGGCCGAAAGGUCUGGGUAAUCUCCAAAUUUCGUCGUGAUGGGGAUAGAUUAUUGCAAUUAUUAAUCUUCAACGAGGAAUGCCUAGUAAGCGCAAGUCAUCAGCUUGCGUUGAUUACGUCCCUGCCCUUUGUACGCACCGCCCGUCGCUCCUACCGAUUGAAUGGUCCGGUGAAGCGUUCGGACCGUGGCCUUUGGACGGUUCGCCGUCUGUUGGCUGCGGGAAGUUCGUUAAACCUUAUCAUUUAGAGGAAGGAGAANUCGUANCA